Molecule: long non-coding RNA, 1228 nt
Filed under: Numida meleagris (helmeted guineafowl)
Lineage: Eukaryota; Metazoa; Chordata; Aves; Galliformes; Numididae
Description: lncRNA (ENSNMEG00000001086.1)
Source: RNAcentral
UGUUGCUGUUGUUAGACUAGUUCUUCAUCACGUGUUUGUGUCAGAGUGUUACAUCAAACUUCCAUGACUGAACUGUUGGCUUCUAUGAUUAAAAUGACUGACUGAAUGUCUGGAAGAUUGAACUAUGCUAUUGUAGCAGAUUUUCUGUAUGUGAAACUGUGUUUGCUGGGCAUGUAGUCAAUAGGGGGCAGUCAAAUAUGCAAGAUCCUGAUAAUUGGAGGCUGGCAGUACUUCUUGUCCUGUAGACUUGUAAGACAGAAUGUGAAGGGUACCUGGAGAAACAGAAGCUAUGCACAAGAACUCUUGGAUAUUGGAUGUUAUCCCAUCAAGCAAGAAACGAAGAUUUUGUAGCUGUAUAUUUCAUGUCAAGUCUUUUCUAAUAGGUUGUGUUUAGUGAUCAUCAUCUCUCUUUCUUGAUGGUCCAUGCAUGCGUUUCUCCAUGAGAAUGGGAGAGGAAGACUGUUCAGUAUGUCUCAUCAUGCAGGAAAUGGCUGUAGCUGCUGUUUCCGUAGAUCUGUGGCAAUUGUACCUGAGGGAACCGUCACGCUAUAUCAACUGUGAACUCUGGAAGAAAUGCACAACCAGUAUCUUUGUGGAACGAUUCGAGCUUCUUUAAACAGUAAAUCUUUUAAGUACUCCAUGUCUUGAGAGUCUGCGGGUGUUUCUACUCUUCCCGUGUUCAUGGAAAUUGGAACUUUGUGUUGCCAAACUCACUGUAAAUGCUUUAAAGGAGUAUAAUUAAAUUUCUGUUGAGAAACUCUGUAUCUGCUUGUGUUAGGAAUUUUUAGUACAGUCUUCUCUUCUUUGUGCAUUCAUUUCUUUGAGCUUAUCUAAGAUAGGUAGUAGGAAGCCAAGUCUCAGUUGAUGUAAUGUUCUGUCCUUGAUGUAGGUAACUUCAGCUAUUAAAUCACUUCUGUUGUUCCCUGCCUUAUCCCUCUUUGACUGUAAAUAAGACCAGCCAUACCAGUUGGUUCCACUUGAUUUGCUGGUUCCCAGGACAUUCGCGAAGCAGAGGUAUUUGCUGCAAUCCUCAGAAAACAACUGCUUUAUCCUGUUUGGAUUAUUCUAGGAGCUAAUAUCUGGAAAUGGUUAAUCACCUUCAACCUAAAUUGUUCAUUUAACUGGAAAAUGAAUACAAGCACCAUAGAUUUGAGAGUUGCAAUAAUUUAAUUACAACAAAAUGUGCUUGAGAAUUUAUUCUGGCAUUUACAUUUACUUCAAAUUCAAC